AAACCAACAGGGAUUGCCUCAGUAGCGGCGAGUGAAGCGGCAAAAGCUCAAAUUUGAAAUCUGGUAGUUCUGCUACCCGAGUUGUAAUUUGUAGAAAACUGUCUUUGUUAGGGUGCCUGUCUAAGUUCCUUGGAACAGGACGUCGCAGAGGGUGAGAAUCCCGUGUGAUGGGUGGCCCGAGCUUUUAAGGCGUUUUCGAAGAGUCGAGUUGUUUGGGAAUGCAGCUCUAAGUGGGUGGUAAAUUCCAUCUAAAGCUAAAUAUUGGCGAGAGACCGAUAGCGAACAAGUACAGUGAUGGAAAGAUGAAAAGAACUUUGAAAAGAGAGUGAAACAGUACGUGAAAUUGUUGAAAGGGAAGGGUAUUUGAUCCGACAUGGGAUUUACUCAUCAUUGCUCCUUGUGGGUGGUGCUCUGGGUUUUUUCUGGGCCAGAAUCAGUUUGUGUGGCAGGAUAAAGACGUAAGGAAGUAGCUCUUCUGGAGCAAUAUAACUCAUGUUAAUACUGCCUAUGCGGACUGAGGAAUGCGGUUUUUACCAAGGAUUCUGGCAUAACGAUUAAAUACCGC
This 565-nucleotide ribosomal RNA is filed under the name Kregervanrija fluxuum. RNAcentral describes it as "eukaryotic LSU rRNA". It matches the Rfam family "Eukaryotic large subunit ribosomal RNA", at positions 62 to 648 of the family's 3401-position model. The record is from RNAcentral. Lineage: Eukaryota; Fungi; Ascomycota; Pichiomycetes; Pichiales; Pichiaceae.